RNAcentral lists this ribosomal RNA (475 nucleotides) under Salmonella enterica subsp. enterica serovar Oslo. RNAcentral's name for it is "partial 23S ribosomal RNA". It matches the Rfam family "Bacterial large subunit ribosomal RNA", at positions 390 to 867 of the family's 2925-position model. The record is from RNAcentral. Lineage: Bacteria; Pseudomonadati; Pseudomonadota; Gammaproteobacteria; Enterobacterales; Enterobacteriaceae.
GCAUGUGUUGUGAGCUCGAUGAGUAGGGCGGGACACGUGGUAUCCUGUCUGAAUAUGGGGGGACCAUCCUCCAAGGCUAAAUACUCCUGACUGACCGAUAGUGAACCAGUACCGUGAGGGAAAGGCGAAAAGAACCCCGGCGAGGGGAGUGAAAAAGAACCUGAAACCGUGUACGUACAAGCAGUGGGAGCACCCUUUUGGGUGUGACUGCGUACCUUUUGUAUAAUGGGUCAGCGACUUAUAUUCUGUAGCAAGGUUAACCGAAUAGGGGAGCCGGAGGGAAACCGAGUCUUAAUUGGGCGUUAAGUUGCAGGGUAUAGACCCGAAACCCGGUGAUCUAGCCAUGGGCAGGUUGAAGGUUGGGUAACACUAACUGGAGGACCGAACCGACUAAUGUUGAAAAAUUAGCGGAUGACCUGUGGCUGGGGGUGAAAGGCCAAUCAAACCGGGAGAUAGCUGGUUCUCCCCGAAAGCU